Molecule: small nuclear RNA, 202 nt
Filed under: Sorex araneus (European shrew)
Lineage: Eukaryota; Metazoa; Chordata; Mammalia; Eulipotyphla; Soricidae
Description: U2 spliceosomal RNA (ENSSARG00000017664.1)
Rfam family: U2 spliceosomal RNA
About the family: U2 is a small nuclear RNA (snRNA) component of the spliceosome (involved in pre-mRNA splicing). Complementary binding between U2 snRNA (in an area lying towards the 5' end but 3' to hairpin I) and the branchpoint sequence (BPS) of the intron results the bulging out of an unpaired adenosine, on the BPS, which initiates a nucleophilic attack at the intronic 5' splice site, thus starting the first of two transesterification reactions that mediate splicing.
Source: RNAcentral
ACCCCUGUGCAUCGCCGGGUGUGACCCAGAAAAAAAAUCAAGUGUAGUAUCUCUUCUUAUCAGUUUAAUAUCAGAAGCUUCCUCUGCCUUAGAACAAUAAAUUAGAUCGACUUUUGGAGCCAGAAGUUCCUCUAAGCGCUUGUUCUGUCCACAUAAGACAUGAGCCUGGUAUUUCAGUUCUUCCAGGAAUAGUGCAUACCUU